GCAAGCAGCUUAUUGAAGCAUGUAACUGGCAUCGCAAGUUUGCAAGGCUAUGCGGAUAGCUUGUUGGAUGCGACAGUCAGACAUUUUGGUUCAGCACCGUCUGCUCAGCCUGAAGAAAAUGGGUUCAAGGGCCAUGGCAUGCUGGCGCCUUUUACAGCUGGCUGGCAGAGCAAUGAUUUGCACCCUCUGAUCAUUGAGAGAUCUGAGGGUUCCUAUGUCUAUGACAUUUAUGGGAACAAGUAUCUGGACUCUCUUGCAGGAUUAUGGUGCACAGCUUUAGGUAUGUGCACGCGACUUUUGUGUUUGUUUCUGGGCUUUAGCAAUGUCUUUGCACCUGUUACUUCUGCAUCAUCUGUGUUCGUUAUGUCUUUUGGUGGUAGCGAGCCUCGA
Molecule: long non-coding RNA, 390 nt
Organism: Zea mays
Lineage: Eukaryota; Viridiplantae; Streptophyta; Magnoliopsida; Poales; Poaceae
Exons: 3
Source: RefSeq, a predicted model, not a curated record